AGGUAUUUUUUAUUUUUAACGCAUUGCAAACACAGUGGAAUUAAUCUAUUUCCCUUUUCUCUUUGUGAAUAGACACAAGUACUUUGUUUAUUAGCAAUUAGCAGUUCCAUGGCCAUGAAUCAUGCUAGUCUCCCCCCUCUUUUGGGAUUUUUUUGGUUUGGGUGAAGAAAUGAACAAUAACAACACAAUCAAGGAAAAAUAACGAUGGGAUUGAACUUUAAGACCUUUUGAUUUCUAAGGAACUAGCUUUGGGUAGUUUACCACUAGAUUAAGGUCUUAUUGGAUACUAAUUGGACAUGUUUGGUUCACUUAGAAACGGAAUGGAAAUGAAAAACAAAAAUUUUGCUUGGAUCUCCUAGUCUGGUCAUACUCUAAUUUUAAUAUUAAAUUUAAUGAAAAUCUUAAAAAAUUAUUAUUAUACUUAAAUGUCAUUUUCACCUAAAUUUAAGUUAUUCUAAUAUAAAAAUUUUGUAAAAUGUCUAAAGUUGCUGUGUACCGAAUAAUAAGAAAAUGGAAUGUUGUUACAAGGACUGCAUUUCAUUAUCAUUUCUAACCAAAAGCUACUUUGUUUUGAUGGAGCCCCUGAUUACUCUCUCCAUUUAUGACUGCUAUUUUUCUGGAAAUUAGCUUUUGUUCAAAUAAAUUCAAGACUUAGCCCUCAACUAUUGGUGGUGCUAUGCAAGUACACAACAGAAGAUCUCUUUAUACAUCUUCUCCUCAACAUAUUUAUCACACGGUAUUAUUGUUUCUUUUGAAAUCUUCAACAUUUCUCAUGUUAUGUGAAAACUCAUAGGCAUUAGGCAGUCAACAUUUCCACUGAUAUUAGUUUUUGGAUGAACAUGGUCUUAUAAAAAGCCUUUUGCUUUGCUAUUAUAUGAAGUGAUUUUGUUCAUAUGUGAACAAAUGCAGUUGUUGUUAUUUUUCUGAUAA
RNAcentral lists this unclassified non-coding RNA (930 nucleotides) under Hevea brasiliensis (rubber tree). Lineage: Eukaryota; Viridiplantae; Streptophyta; Magnoliopsida; Malpighiales; Euphorbiaceae. The record is from RNAcentral.